CACCGUAGACGGACUCUCCAGUCACCAAAUUCUUGGUGCAGAGCGCGUCCUCCUUCCCCUUCGAGAUGAACACACCUUCGUGUCGCUCGUGGGGAAUGACGAUGACCUUGCUGCCGCCCUUCAUCCCGCCGCCUCGUCCACCCCGACCGCCGCCGCGGCCGCCAGGACCGCCGCGGCCUCGGCCCCUACCGCGACCCCCGUCUCUCCCGCCGCCAAAUCGACCGCCGCCUCGCCCGCCACCAUCACUGAAACGGCCGCCGCCGCGGCCGCCUCCAUCGGAGCGACCGCCCCUGAAUCCACCACGGCCGCCACCCCUUGCUACUGGAGCCCUCAUCACUGGUGAGCGAGGGGAGAGGAGGGGUGAGAUUAGGGUUCGG
Molecule: unclassified non-coding RNA, 377 nt
Filed under: Hevea brasiliensis (rubber tree)
Lineage: Eukaryota; Viridiplantae; Streptophyta; Magnoliopsida; Malpighiales; Euphorbiaceae
Source: RNAcentral